This 23-nucleotide non-coding RNA is filed under the name Rattus norvegicus (Norway rat). The record is from RNAcentral. Lineage: Eukaryota; Metazoa; Chordata; Mammalia; Rodentia; Muridae.
GCAGGGAUCGAAGAGGAAGAGGC